RNAcentral lists this ribosomal RNA (255 nucleotides) under uncultured bacterium. RNAcentral's name for it is "partial 16S ribosomal RNA". It matches the Rfam family "Bacterial small subunit ribosomal RNA", at positions 524 to 777 of the family's 1533-position model. The record is from RNAcentral.
UACAGAGGGUGCAAGCGUUAAUCGGAAUUACUGGGCGUAAAGCGCGCGUAGGUGGUUUGUUAAGUUGGAUGUGAAAUCCCCGGGCUCAACCUGGGAACUGCAUCCAAAACUGGCAAGCUAGAGUAUGGUAGAGGGUGGUGGAAUUUCCUGUGUAGCGGUGAAAUGCGCAGAUAUAGGAAGGAACACCAGUGGCGAAGGCGACCACCUGGACUGAGUACUGACACUGAGGUGCGAAAGCGUGGGGAGCAAACAGGG